This 400-nucleotide ribosomal RNA is filed under the name uncultured crenarchaeote. RNAcentral's name for it is "bacterial SSU rRNA". It matches the Rfam family "Archaeal small subunit ribosomal RNA", at positions 469 to 870 of the family's 1478-position model. Lineage: Archaea; Thermoproteati; Thermoproteota. The record is from RNAcentral.
GGUAAACCAGCACCUCAAGUGGUCAGGAUGAUUAUUGGGCCUAAAGCAUCCGUAGCCGGCGCUGUAAGUUUUCGGUUAAAUCUGUACGCUCAACGUACAGGCUGCCGGGAAUACUGCAGCGCUAGGGAGUGGGAGAGGUAGACGGUACUCGGUAGGAAGGGGUAAAAUCCUUUGAUCUAUUGAUGACCACCUGUGGCGAAGGCGGUCUACCAGAACACGUCCGACGGUGAGGGAUGAAAGCUGGGGGAGCAAACCGGAUUAGAUACCCGGGUAGUCCCAGCUGUAAACUAUGCAAACUCAGUGAUGCAUUGGCUUGUGGCCAAUGCAGUGCUGCAGGGAAGCCGUUAAGUUUGCCGCCUGGGAAGUACGUACGCAAGUAUGAAACUUAAAGGAAUUGGCG